RNAcentral lists this ribosomal RNA (417 nucleotides) under uncultured bacterium. Its description in RNAcentral is "bacterial SSU rRNA". It matches the Rfam family "Bacterial small subunit ribosomal RNA", at positions 356 to 773 of the family's 1533-position model. The record is from RNAcentral.
GGGGAAUCUUGCGCAAUGGCCUAACGGCUGACGCAGCGACGCCGCGUGAGGGGUGAAGCUCCUCGGAGUGUAAACCACUGUUGCCCGGGACGAACAGCCUGUUUCGACAGGUCUGACGGUACCGGGUGAGGAAGCACCGGCUAACUCCGUGCCAGCAGCCGCGGUAAUACGGAGGGUGCGAGCGUUGUCCGGAAUCAGUGGGCGUAAAGGGCGCGUAGGUGGCCUGGUCAGCGUGCGGUGAAAGCUCGGGGCUCAACCCCGAGUCGGCCGUGCGAACUGCUGGGCUUGAGCACUGUAGAGGCAGGCGGAAUUCCGGGUGUAGCGGUGGAAUGCGUAGAGAUCCGGAAGAACACCGGUGGCGAAGGCGGCCUGCUGGGCAGUAGCUGACACUGAGGCGCGACAGCGUGGGGAGCAAAC